GUGGCUCAGUGGUAGAGCGCUUGGCUUGCGUUCAUGAGGCUCUGGGUUCGAUUCCUCAGC
RNAcentral lists this transfer RNA (60 nucleotides) under Dipodomys ordii (Ord's kangaroo rat). It matches the Rfam family "tRNA", at positions 7 to 64 of the family's 71-position model. From Rfam's summary of the family: Transfer RNA (tRNA) molecules are approximately 80 nucleotides in length. Their secondary structure includes four short double-helical elements and three loops (D, anti-codon, and T loops). Lineage: Eukaryota; Metazoa; Chordata; Mammalia; Rodentia; Heteromyidae. The record is from Rfam by way of RNAcentral.